Molecule: long non-coding RNA, 514 nt
Organism: Gasterosteus aculeatus aculeatus (three-spined stickleback)
Lineage: Eukaryota; Metazoa; Chordata; Actinopteri; Perciformes; Gasterosteidae
Source: Ensembl
CAACCAUCAACCAUAGGAUGUUUAAGCCCAUCUCUCCAGAGGUCACCUUGGCUUGUUUACUUGACUGGAGUGGACGCUCAGUGAACAUCUCACCUACCAACGUGUGUUCAGCUCUCAACUCAUUUCCUACUGGAUCCUCAGUCAGUGUGGACCAGACACGUGAAGAAACAGGCCGCCUCCUAUUGGCUCCGCCUGACACAGCCAUGGACGGGAUGGGAUCCUGGAAGCGGGGGCCGGAUGAUUGGGAGGUUUGGCUGAGGUGACAAAGAGCUGAUCGAUCCCCGGCUGCAGGAGGCCGAGCCGGGGGAACAGGCUCCAAAAGCCUGACUGUCACGCACACUGCAUACACAGGUACAUAAAAAACAUAAGGCCCACGCGGAGGGACAAUCCGCUCUGGCCUUCAUUGCGUUAGGCAGACGUAUACUAAACUGGAGAAAAUUGUUGAGUAUGAAAGUUGUCUGAUUAAAUAAUUGAUUCUGAUUCUCACACAGAAUGUUUAAUUAUUUGAUGACUU